UGAAUUAGUGCAGCGGAAAUCUUACAGCGAUUAAAAACGAAAGCUGCGUUCGUUCGAUAAAAGAUUAUUAUGAUGCAAAAGCCGAUUUAUGCGUUUGUAUCUAAGUGCAGUUUGCGCAGUUUGCAUCUAAAUGCAGUUUUGCGUCUAAAUGCAGUUUGCGUCUAAAUGCAGAUUGCGUCUAAGCGCAGUUUGCAUCUAGGCGCAGUUUGCGUCUAAG
This 217-nucleotide long non-coding RNA is filed under the name Musa acuminata (dwarf banana). RNAcentral describes it as "long non-coding RNA (MACU_LNC010402)". Lineage: Eukaryota; Viridiplantae; Streptophyta; Magnoliopsida; Zingiberales; Musaceae. The record is from RNAcentral.